Molecule: long non-coding RNA, 997 nt
Organism: Zingiber officinale
Lineage: Eukaryota; Viridiplantae; Streptophyta; Magnoliopsida; Zingiberales; Zingiberaceae
Exons: 4
Source: RefSeq, a predicted model, not a curated record
UCGUGCCCUAAUCGUCCUUCCUCAACCGACGUGCCGCCGACGCCGGUGUCGUUUCCUCUCUUUCUCUCCGGUACAAAGGCAGUAGCCGAGGGAAGCUUCGAGUCUCUCCUCUCCUCUUCCCCCAUCUAUGCUUCCUGUCCUCUCCACGCAAUCUGCUUUGCACCGAGGUUGUGCCCUAGCCUCUCCCCACACCGCCGAGCCAUCGUCGCCCGAUUCAGCCAUUUUCCUGAGCCCUAGGUUAGGUUCACAACCGACCGUUUCCUCCUCCCUGGGCUCGCGACACCGCCGCCUCUUCUCCCGAUCGCCGGCAUGAAGAGGCGACUAGGGUUCCGAGGAUCUUUGAUUUUCCUUUCCUUGCUGUGAUAGAAGUCUUGAUUGAAGGAGGAAGAUUUUGGAUCGGUUCUUGCUGUUUUCCCCUAAUCAGAGCAUGGAUUUCUUCAUCCUUACGGAGGAAAUUUAGGGCUACUAGUUGGAGGUAAGUGCCUUGGCUAGCUGUGGAUUCGGGUUUGAUACUCUGUUGUGGGUGUGGACUGCCUCCAGGGAUUCGUUGACUAAGAAGAAAGAAAGGUUGAAUUGGAGAAUUGGAUUUGGAGAUCAGCAAUUUUAUCGGGCCGACUACAAUUUUCAGCAGUGGGAUGAUACAAGAGCAAACGACUAUAGGUUGGAAUUUCAGAUGUGAUUGGGGUGUGGAUUGUGGAUGAUUUACAUUGAGGGCAGUAGCUUCAUGGUUGCUCCGACUAGGAUUUUCUGACAACCACUCCUCUGACUGCGAGGACCCUGAUUACGGGACAGUUGUUCUGAUGUGAGGAUUGUUUAUCAUGGACUACAGUUAAAGACGGGUACCUUGACUUAUCUUUUUGAUAUGUCUUGUUGAUAUCUCUAGUAGGUUAUAGCCUUUAGUAAUAAUUAUGUUCGUCCUUGUUUUAGUACGUCACUACCGGAUACUCGUUACAUGUUUGUUUGCUCACUUGAUAUGCAUUUUUAUGCUAGUACCCAC